RNAcentral lists this ribosomal RNA (402 nucleotides) under uncultured prokaryote. RNAcentral describes it as "bacterial SSU rRNA". It matches the Rfam family "Bacterial small subunit ribosomal RNA", at positions 355 to 774 of the family's 1533-position model. The record is from RNAcentral.
UAGGGAAUAUUAGAAAUGGACGAAAGUCUGAUCUAGCAACACCGCGUGUGCGAAGAAGGCCUUCGGGUUGUAAAGCACUUUUUGGAAGGAUUAGGAAGGAAUGUACUUCCAGAAUAAGUCUCGGCUAACUACGUGCCAGCAGCCGCGGUAACACGUAGGAGGCAAACGUUAUCCGGAUUUACUGGGCGUAAAGCGCGUGUAGGUGGUUCUGUAAGUAGGGCGUGAAAGCUCCUGGCUCAACUGGGAGAGGCCGUUCUAAACUGCAGAGCUAGAGGAUGGUAGAGGGAGGUGGAAUUCCGGGUGUAGCGGUGGAAUGCGCAGAUAUCCGGAGGAACACCAGUGGCGAAAGCGGUUUUCUGGACCAAUUCUGACACUCAGAUGCGAAAGCUAAGGUAGCAAACG